Molecule: ribosomal RNA, 219 nt
Filed under: Triticum aestivum (bread wheat)
Lineage: Eukaryota; Viridiplantae; Streptophyta; Magnoliopsida; Poales; Poaceae
Description: partial small subunit ribosomal RNA
Source: RNAcentral
AUGCAGGGGAGGCUGCCACAGCACAGCGCGGCGUCGGAUAAAAGCAAGGGAACAAGGGAUGGUCCAAACAAAGCUUGGGCCGCGCUGCCCUCUCGCCUAAAUAAAACUCUCCCCCACGCACUCCCCCACUCACCACACCACACACCCCCAGCCACCAGCUCGCCCGCAAAGAGUGAGCUGAGGUCCAAGCCAGAGCGCGAGAGGAAGAAGCAGAGCUAG